AUGGGGGAAAGCCUUUUAAAGUUUAUUCAAGGAAGAAAGGGAAGACCUAAGUAAACUUUAAGUAGGAUUAAUAUAAUUAGAAUUUGAGUCAUGAUAGGUUAUUAGAGUCCUAGUAGAAUAGGUUAUUAGAGUCCUAGUAGACUUUGGAUUUCUUAGAGAAGCCUAUAAAUAGGCUAAUCAAUGUAAAUCAAAGGAA
Long non-coding RNA from Vitis vinifera (wine grape), 196 nucleotides. RefSeq lists it as uncharacterized. NCBI's taxonomy places the organism in Eukaryota, Viridiplantae, Streptophyta, Magnoliopsida, Vitales, Vitaceae. The record is from RefSeq and is a predicted model, not a curated record. The transcript is spliced from 2 exons.